UACGUAGGUCCCGAGCGUUGUCCGGAUUUAUUGGGCGUAAAGCGAGCGCAGGUGGUUUAUUAAGUCUGGUGUAAAAGGCAGUGGCUCAACCAUUGUAUGCGUUGGAAACUGGUAGACUUGAGUGCAGGAGAGGAGAGUGGAAUUCCAUGUGUAGCGGUGAAAUGCGUAGAUAUAUGGAGGAACACCGCUGGCGAAAGCGGCUCUCUGGCCUGUAACUGACACUGAGGCUCGAAAGCGUGGGGAGCAAACAGG
RNAcentral lists this ribosomal RNA (252 nucleotides) under uncultured bacterium. RNAcentral's name for it is "partial 16S ribosomal RNA". It matches the Rfam family "Bacterial small subunit ribosomal RNA", at positions 524 to 776 of the family's 1533-position model. The record is from RNAcentral.